Molecule: ribosomal RNA, 516 nt
Filed under: Triticum aestivum (bread wheat)
Lineage: Eukaryota; Viridiplantae; Streptophyta; Magnoliopsida; Poales; Poaceae
Description: partial small subunit ribosomal RNA
Source: RNAcentral
AUGGACAACUGCUUGAGAGCUUCAUUCCCUCGAGGACUAAGGCAAGGAGACCCUUUAUCACCGUUCUUAUUUCUUUUUGUUGCUGACGCCCUGUCUGCUUUAUUCUCAAAAUUAGUGGGGGAAGGAUCUCUAAAGGGAGUGUCUAUUUGUCGAGGUGCGCCAGUUAUUUCCCACCUGCUUUUUGCGGAUGAUACUAUGUUGCUGUUUGAGGCGUCUGGCCAGCAGGCGAGCAUUGUUAAGGGGCUGUUGAACACUUAUACUUCAGCAACGGGUCAACUCAUUAACCCAGAGAAGUGUUCCAUCCUUUUUUCAGACAAUUGCUCCGUUGCGGUGGUAGAUGAAGUCAAGAGCACACUUGAGGUUACGCAACAGGUGUUCGAGCCAAAGUAUCUCGGCCUUCCUGUGCCGGAAGGAAGAGUGCAUAAGGGACAAUUUGAAUCACUACAGGAAAGAUUGAGGAAGAGAUUAAUUGAUUGGAGUGAGCAAUAUGUCUCAUCGGGGAAUAAAAAAAUUUGA